This 266-nucleotide ribosomal RNA is filed under the name uncultured soil bacterium. RNAcentral describes it as "partial 16S ribosomal RNA". It matches the Rfam family "Bacterial small subunit ribosomal RNA", at positions 26 to 293 of the family's 1533-position model. The record is from RNAcentral.
AGAUUGAACGCUGGCGGCAGGCCUAACACAUGCAAGUCGAGCGGUAGAGAGGUGCUUGCAUCUCUUGAGAGCGGCGGACGGGUGAGUAAUGCCUAGGAAUCUGCCUAGUGGUGGGGGAUAACGUUCGGAAACGGACGCUAAUACCGCAUACGUCCUACGGGAGAAAGCGGGGGACCUUCGGGCCUCGCGCCAUUAGAUGAGCCUAGGUCGGAUUAGCUAGGUUGGUGAGGUAAUGGCUCACCAAGGCGACGAUCCGUAACUGGUCU